CCGGCGCACGGGUGAGUAACGCGUAUGCAACCUGCCCGUUUCAGCGGGAUAACCCGGAGAAAUCCGGCCUAAUACCGCAUGUGGCCGAGGGGAGGCAUCUUCUUUUCGGCCAAAGGAGGCGACUCCGGAGACGGAUGGGCAUGCGUGACAUUAGCUAGUUGGCGGGGUAACGGCCCACCAAGGCGACGAUCAGUAGCCGGACUGAGAGGUUGAACGGCCACAUUGGGACUGAGACACGGCCCAGACUCCUACGGAAGGCAGCAG
RNAcentral lists this ribosomal RNA (264 nucleotides) under uncultured bacterium. Its description in RNAcentral is "partial 16S ribosomal RNA". It matches the Rfam family "Bacterial small subunit ribosomal RNA", at positions 95 to 354 of the family's 1533-position model. The record is from RNAcentral.